This 468-nucleotide ribosomal RNA is filed under the name uncultured bacterium. RNAcentral's name for it is "partial 16S ribosomal RNA". It matches the Rfam family "Bacterial small subunit ribosomal RNA", at positions 28 to 507 of the family's 1533-position model. The record is from RNAcentral.
GACGAACGCUGGCGGCGUGCUUAACACAUGCAAGUCGAACGGAAAGGCCCUGCUUUUGUGGGGUGCUCGAGUGGCGAACGGGUGAGUAACACGUGAGUAACCUGCCCUUGACUUUGGGAUAACUUCAGGAAACUGGGGCUAAUACCGGAUAGGAGCUCCUGCUGCAUGGUGGGGGUUGGAAAGUUUCGGCGGUUGGGGAUGGACUCGCGGCUUAUCAGCUUGUUGGUGGGGUAGUGGCUUACCAAGGCUUUGACGGGUAGCCGGCCUGAGAGGGUGACCGGCCACAUUGGGACUGAGAUACGGCCCAGACUCCUACGGGAGGCAGCAGUGGGGAAUAUUGCACAAUGGGCGGAAGCCUGAUGCAGCAACGCCGCGUGCGGGAUGACGUCCUUCGGGUUAUAAACCGCUUUCGCCUGUGACGAAGCGUGAGUGACGGUAAUGGGUAAAGAAGCACCGGCUAACUACGUG